GGAUUGUGACUCAGUGGUAGAGUGCUCGCCUAGCACGGGCGGGACCCGGGUUCGAUCCUCAGCACCA
This 67-nucleotide transfer RNA is filed under the name Marmota monax (woodchuck). RNAcentral's name for it is "tRNA.Ala". The record is from RNAcentral. Lineage: Eukaryota; Metazoa; Chordata; Mammalia; Rodentia; Sciuridae.